Molecule: transfer RNA, 79 nt
Filed under: Vibrio parahaemolyticus
Lineage: Bacteria; Pseudomonadati; Pseudomonadota; Gammaproteobacteria; Vibrionales; Vibrionaceae
Description: tRNA-Arg
Rfam family: tRNA
About the family: Transfer RNA (tRNA) molecules are approximately 80 nucleotides in length. Their secondary structure includes four short double-helical elements and three loops (D, anti-codon, and T loops). Further hydrogen bonds mediate the characteristic L-shaped molecular structure. tRNAs have two regions of fundamental functional importance: the anti-codon, which is responsible for specific mRNA codon recognition, and the 3' end, to which the tRNAs corresponding amino acid is attached (by aminoacyl-tRNA synthetases). tRNAs cope with the degeneracy of the genetic code in two manners: having more than one tRNA (with a specific anti-codon) for a particular amino acid; and 'wobble' base-pairing, i.e. permitting non-standard base-pairing at the 3rd anti-codon position.
Source: RNAcentral
GCGUCCUUAGCUCAGCUGGAUAGAGUACCUGGCUACGAACCAGGCGGUAACAGGGGUUCGACUCCUCCAGGACGCGCCA